GUGACCUCAAAUCAGGUAGGACUACCCGCUGAACUUAAGCAUAUCAAUAAGCGGAGGAAAAGAAACUAACAAGGAUUCCCCUAGUAACUGCGAGUGAAGCGGGAAAAGCUCAAAUUUAAAAUCUGGCGGUCUUUUGGCUGUCCGAGUUGUAAUCUAGAGAAGUGUUAUCCGCGCUGGACCGUGUACAAGUCUCCUGGAAUGGAGCAUCAUAGAGGGUGAGAAUCCCGUCUUUGACAUGGACUGCCAGGGCUUUGUGAUGCGCUCUCAAAGAGUCGAGUUGUUUGGGAAUGCAGCUCAAAAUGGGUGGUAAAUUCCAUCUAAAGCUAAAUAUUGGCGAGAGACCGAUAGCGAACAAGUACCGUGAGGGAAAGAUGAAAAGAACUUUGGAAAGAGAGUUAAACAGUACGUGAAAUUGCUGAAAGGGAAACGCUUGAAGUCAGUCACGUCGUCCAGGGAUCAACCUUGCUUUUGCUUGGUGCACUUUCUGGUUUGACGGGUCAGCAUCAAUUUUGACUAUUGGAAAAAGGCUCUAGGGAAUGUGGCAUCUUCGGAUGUGUUAUAGCCCUUGGUCAUAUACAAUGGUUGGGAUUGAGGAACUCAGCACGCCGCAAGGCCGGGUUUUAUACCACGUACGUGCUUAGGAUGCUGGCAAAAUGGCUUUAAUCGACCCGUC
RNAcentral lists this ribosomal RNA (673 nucleotides) under Cortinarius leucopus. RNAcentral's name for it is "eukaryotic LSU rRNA". It matches the Rfam family "Eukaryotic large subunit ribosomal RNA", at positions 1 to 653 of the family's 3401-position model. Lineage: Eukaryota; Fungi; Basidiomycota; Agaricomycetes; Agaricales; Cortinariaceae. The record is from RNAcentral.